CGCCUCCUGUUCCUGAACCAUAGGAGGUCCCGCCUGCCCUGUGACUAGUAGUUUAACGGCCGCGGUAUUUUAACCGUGCAAAGGUAGCGCAAUCAAUUGUCUUUUAAAUGAAGACCUGUAUGAAUGGCAUCACGAGGGUUUAGCUGUCUCUUCUUUCCAGUCAGUGAAACUGAUCUCCCCGUGCAGAAGCGGGCAUUUUUACACAAGACGAGAAGACCCUAUGGAGCUUUAGGCUCCCAGCACCCGCGAGCAAGACAGCAGAACCCUGUCACCUAAAGCGAAGUAUGACCCGGGAACCUUCGGUUGGGGCGACCACGGGAGACAGAGUAGCUCCCGAGCGGAUUGGGCCACGCCCAAAGUCUAGAGGGACACCUCCAGAUCGCAGCACAUCUGACCGAUAAUGAUCCGGCCUCGGCCGAUCAGCGAACCAAGUUACCCUAGGGAUAACAGCGCAAUCCCCUCCCAGAGUCCCUAUCGACGAGGGGGUUUACGACCUCGAUGUUGGAUCAGGACAUCCUAAUGGUGCAGAAGCUAUUAAGGGUUCGUUUGUUCAACGAUUAAAGUCCU
Molecule: ribosomal RNA, 567 nt
Filed under: Jenkinsia lamprotaenia (dwarf round herring)
Lineage: Eukaryota; Metazoa; Chordata; Actinopteri; Clupeiformes; Clupeidae
Description: partial 16S ribosomal RNA
Rfam family: Bacterial large subunit ribosomal RNA
Source: RNAcentral